This is a non-coding RNA of Triticum aestivum (bread wheat), 135 nucleotides long. The record is from Rfam. Lineage: Eukaryota; Viridiplantae; Streptophyta; Magnoliopsida; Poales; Poaceae.
UUUGUACUCCCUCCGUCCCAAAAUUCUUGUCUUAAAUUUGUCUAAAUACGGAUGUAUCUAGUUACAUUUUAGUGUUAGAUACAUCCGUAUCUAAUCAAAUGUAAGACAAGAAUUUUGGGACGGAGGGAAUACUAC